GGAAGACAGCUGAGAAAAAGUCUUCCCUCUGAGCAACGUGGUCGAUAUGGAGAGAAGGUACUGAUCUGGUCCAUGGAAUCGUCCGGAACCAGCGAACGAGUUUCGCUCAGGCCCAGCUCUCUGAGACGGCAGCACACGCCGAGAACCUGCUGAUGCUAAGCCCGUGGAAUCCCAGCCCCACCUGUGACGGCGGCGUGGCUUCCCUCCUCUACAUCCACGUUCAGAAAACGGAGGCGUGAGAUCCACGACAAGUAAGACAAGGCCACGCAGAAGGGAGGCCGUGUCCGGACGGCGAUUCUGCCGAAACGGAGCUCGGGCCGCCCUGGCGUCACGGCGCGUGUGGGCUGCUGCACGAGGCCGCCCUGCAGUCCCUGCGCUGAGCCCCCGAAGCCAGCACGGCUCUGGGGAGGGAGCCCCCGAAGCCAGCACGGCUCUGGGGAGGGAGCCUCUGCAGCCACACGGACUCCCCUUCCGGAGGCAGGUGCCUGCGGCCUGGUGAGUAACCGCGCUCCGCCCGGGAGCGGGCAGCCUGUGCAGUGUUCCUGAUAACACUGAGCUCUAGGCCUCACUGAACAGGAACAGAGUGGGAGUUCGGAGCCAUUAAAAAUAUAAAUGCCAUUCACUUUGACUUUUAUCAAACAAACCUAAUGCCUUUCAGUUACAGGGUCAAACUCCAAACGCCACGGCCACGUGCGCACGUGAUAACAAACAUGACGGUUACCUCCAAGCUCCUUCCUGGCAGGCGCCGGACUCCUGGCCCCUGGGCCACAGGACACGCAGCAGAGAGGAAACGACAGAGUAAAGCGUGAGACGCCAGAUCCGCUAGCCCUGACGCCGAGCACCACGCAGGAGCCAUGGAUUAGUAGCUCGGUGUGACAAAAGCUGUUAUUUAAUGCAAGCACUUCCAAUAACUCCCGCAACAACACAUGCUUAUUUAGAAGCAGUUAGCCCUCCCUGGUUUGGCUCAGUGGGUAGAGCGUCGGCCUGUGCAUUAAAGCAGCGGGUGCCAACUGGUGGUGUGUAAGAUCCGAAAGGCUGGCGACCGCUGGACUGAAGGGUCCCAGGUUCAAUUCCGAUCAAGGGCACAUGCCCAGGUUGCGGGCUCAGUCCCCAGUGGGAGGCGUGCAGGAGGCAGCCGAUUCAUGAUUCUCUCUCAUCAUUGAUGUUUCUAUCUCCCCCCCUUUCUCUCCAAAAUCAA
Long non-coding RNA from Eptesicus fuscus (big brown bat), 1198 nucleotides. RefSeq lists it as uncharacterized. The transcript is spliced from 3 exons. The record is from RefSeq and is a predicted model, not a curated record. Lineage: Eukaryota; Metazoa; Chordata; Mammalia; Chiroptera; Vespertilionidae.